Molecule: ribosomal RNA, 492 nt
Filed under: uncultured bacterium
Lineage: Bacteria
Description: partial 16S ribosomal RNA
Rfam family: Bacterial small subunit ribosomal RNA
Source: RNAcentral
AGUGAACGCUGGCGGUAGGCCUAACACAUGCAAGUCGAACGGCAUCACAGUAAGAGCUUGCUCUUACGGGUGUCGAGUGGCGGACGGUUGAUGAAUACAUCGGAAUCUACUUUUUCGUUGGUGAUAACGUAGGGUAACUUACGCUAAUACCGCAUACGACCUACUUGUGAAAGCAGGGGAUCUUCUGACCUUGCGCGAUUGAAUGAGCCGAUGUCGGAUUAGAUAGUUGGCGGGGUAAAGGCACACCAAGGCGACGAUCCGUAUCUGGUCUGAGAGGAUGAUCAGCCACAUUGGAACUGAGAAACGGCACAGACACCUACGGGAGGAAGCAGUGGGGAAUAUUGGACGAUGGGGGCAAGCGUGAUCCAGCCAUACCGCGUAGGUGAAGAAGGACUUCGGGUUGUAAAGCCCUGUUGUUGGGAAAGAAAAGAAGCAGGUUAAUACCCGGCUGUUAUGACGGUACCCAAAGAAUAAGCACCGGCUAACUUCGUG